GGGGAAUAUUGCACAAUGGGCGGAAGCCUGAUGCAGCGACGCCGCGUGAGCGAUGAAGGCCUUCGGGUCGUAAAGCUCUGUCCUAUGGGACGAUAAUGACGGUACCAUAGGAGGAAGCCCCGGCUAACUACGUGCCAGCAGCCGCGGUAAUACGUAGGGGGCGAGCGUUGUCCGGAAUUACUGGGCGUAAAGGGUACGUAGGCGGCUAGGUAAGUCAGGUGUGAAAUCCAUGGGCUCAACCCAUGUAAGCACUUGAAACUGCUUAGCUUGAGUUAAGGAGAGGAAAGCGGAAUUCCUGGUGUAGCGGUGAAAUGCGUAGAUAUCAGGAGGAACACCAGUGGCGAAGGCGGCUUUCUGGCCUUGGACUGACGCUGAGGUACGAAAGCGUGGGGAGCAAAC
Molecule: ribosomal RNA, 399 nt
Filed under: uncultured bacterium
Lineage: Bacteria
Description: bacterial SSU rRNA
Rfam family: Bacterial small subunit ribosomal RNA
Source: RNAcentral